Molecule: unclassified non-coding RNA, 2834 nt
Filed under: Hermetia illucens (black soldier fly)
Lineage: Eukaryota; Metazoa; Arthropoda; Insecta; Diptera; Stratiomyidae
Description: b(0,+)-type amino acid transporter 1, transcript variant X4
Source: RNAcentral
AUAUAACGAAGGUUCCGUGGUCGCGAGAGUUCAUUCUCUCAGUGUUCAAAGUGACAUGAAAGUGAAAAAACUGGUGUACGGUACCGAGUCAUGUAUCAGCAUGCUUUUCACACAACACCAAACCAUAUCGCAAAUGGACAUAAUGUGCCAACUAAAGUCACAUCUAACGGGACAACGUAUUCCAAUGGGGGUCUUGGGGCAGAAGGGCCCGAAACGACAGAGACCGACUCAUCAGGGACCGGGGGGAUGCGGAAGUCGCUGGAGGGGUCGGGCUCAACGCCGAACGACAUUGUUCACCUCAAGAGACGGGUGGGACUCUUCAGUGGGGUGGCUUUAAUUGUCGGAACUAUGAUUGGGUCUGGAAUAUUCGUUUCACCAAGUGGUUUACUAGUUCGAACUGGUUCCGUUGGUGUGAGCUUUUUGAUAUGGCUGGCCUGUGGGAUGUUGUCAUUACUAGGUGCAUUGGCGUACGCUGAAUUGGGCACAAUGAACACAUCGUCGGGGGCCGAAUAUGCAUACUUUAUGGAUGCAUUCGGUGCACCCCCAGCCUUCCUAUUCUCAUGGGUAUCGACAUUGGUACUGAAGCCAUCGCAAAUGGCAAUAAUAUGUUUAUCAUUCGCACAAUACGCGGUUGAAGCGUUCGUAUCGGAAUGUGAUCCGCCCAGUGCGGUGGUGAAAAUGGUUGCACUCGUUGCAAUAGUAAUGAUCCUGUUUGUAAAUUGCUACAGUGUGAAUUUAGGCAUGGCUGUACAAAAUAUAUUCACGGCUGCAAAAUUAGUAGCCGUUUUGAUAGUUAUUUGUGGUGGAGCUUAUAAGCUCUUCCAAGGCAACACACAACAUCUACAGAAUGCAUUUACUGGCCCGACACCUUCAUUGGGUGCUAUCGCGACAGCAUUUUACACUGGCUUGUGGGCCUACGACGGCUGGAACAAUUUGAAUUAUGUAACCGAGGAAAUACGUAAUCCCAGCAAAAACCUUCCGAGGUCAAUUAUAAUCGGUAUCCCGCUCGUUACAUUAUGCUAUGCGUUGAUUAAUGUCUCGUACCUGGCGGCAAUGUCACCCACCGAAAUGGUUGAAUCUGAAGCUGUUGCUGUUACAUUUGGUAAUCGGAUACUGGGAGCUAUGGCAUGGCUGAUGCCAUUGAGUGUCACAAUUAGUACGUUUGGAAGUGCAAAUGGAACUUUGUUUGCAGCUGGAAGGUUAUGCUUUGCAGCAAGUCGUGAAGGACAUCUUCUCGAUAUUUUAUCCUAUGUUCACGUUCGGAGGCUAACGCCCGCUCCUGGUCUCAUAUUCCACUCACUAAUCGCAGCUGCUAUGGUUCUCUAUGGUACAAUCGAUUCACUGAUUGACUUUUUCAGUUUCACGGCAUGGAUUUUCUAUGGUGGAGCCAUGCUUGCACUGCUCGUUAUGAGAUACACAAAACCAAAUUAUCCAAGGCCAUAUAAAGUGCCUAUCAUCAUUCCAGUAUUGGUUUUAGUUAUUUCAUCGUAUCUUGUUGUGGCUCCAAUCAUUGAUAAGCCGCAAAUUGAAUAUCUCUACGCGGUAUUUUUCAUUCUAGCUGGUCUGAUAUUCUACGUUCCGUUCGUGAAACUAGGUCUUACGCCGAAAUUCAUGGGGUCAUGCAAGGGAAUGCAUUUGCGAAUAGUUCUUCUUCGACUUCUUCUUCCUCAAAACCUAGUAUGUGUGUGAAAUGAAAGGAGUAGGACGAGAGAAGAUAUCGCUUAUAUUCCCGGAAUGGCCGCGCCUAGGAUAAUUUCUCACUUGUGAAAGAAAUAGGAGGAGGGAGCUUGGAAUAUGUCUUAAACUCUACUCCUCGAUAUUGUGAGGAACACGCGCAAGGGUUCGAAUGCCUAUCAACAAAUUAGAAAGUCACGCUCUUCUUACAACUGCUCUUGGAAGUUGUGCCAACCUCAACGAUGGCAAUGUUUGACUAGAAGAACACCUUGGACAGGUUACAGUAGCGUAAUGAAAUUAAUAAUCCUCUUUUGCUUGUGAUCUUGAGUGCUCUACCGAUGCAAAAGCAAUGCUAGUAUUUUAAGCAAACAACAAAUUGAGUUUCGGCAAUAAGUUUACAACGAGUUGAAGUUACAAAUUUUGAUGCAGGAAUCGUAGGUGAUUGAAGUGAAUUCAGCUCCUGAAACCGUCUAAAUAGCACCACCAGCAACAAUCGAUGACCAUUCUUGGAAAACUAGAAAAAUCAAUAAGACUUAAACAAUGUGUUGUUAAACUUUUAUUUUAUAAACAAAUGAUUUUUAUAAUUUUAAGCAAGCAAUAACAAGUACUUUUGAAAAAUUUCAACUAGAACGUACUUCAAUAAGAGGACACUGAAUCCCAUUUUAAAAAUAUUCUAGGAUAAAUUCGGUCAAACUCAUUGCGAGCAGAGUCGCUUUGCUCGAAAAAGUCUCAAUACUUUUGGAUACAAACUGAUAAUUUAAAGCCCUAUUGGAUAGCAUUUUAUUAUAAAUAAAAGAAAAAACUAGAAAAAAAAAUAUUUCUAUUGUUUAGACGAAUAUAAGAAAUUUCCCGGUAAGCAAAGCCUCAAACGAUCAUUCACUGUUCGAAUUGAUCCUUUUUGUCUCACUACAUCCCCUUCGAUUGUGCCGAAAUGGAUAUGAACGCUUUGCUAUGAAUAUUAUUAUAUUGUUUCAAGUACAGUUGAAAUUUUUUAUAUUGUUAUAUUUUUUAAUAUGAGAAAAACGUUGAGAAUGAUUUUUGGAAAUUCAACAUAUGAAAAGACUUGUCAAAGACAGUGUCGAUUGUAUUAUUAUCAAUAUUGUAAUGAUAAACUGUUAGAAAUGAUAAGCAAAAAUAAAAUGUUUUAGUUAGCAUAAAAA